RNAcentral lists this transfer RNA (84 nucleotides) under Kofleriaceae bacterium. RNAcentral's name for it is "tRNA-Ser". It matches the Rfam family "tRNA". From Rfam's summary of the family: Transfer RNA (tRNA) molecules are approximately 80 nucleotides in length. Their secondary structure includes four short double-helical elements and three loops (D, anti-codon, and T loops). Further hydrogen bonds mediate the characteristic L-shaped molecular structure. tRNAs have two regions of fundamental functional importance: the anti-codon, which is responsible for specific mRNA codon recognition, and the 3' end, to which the tRNAs corresponding amino acid is attached (by aminoacyl-tRNA synthetases). tRNAs cope with the degeneracy of the genetic code in two manners: having more than one tRNA (with a specific anti-codon) for a particular amino acid; and 'wobble' base-pairing, i.e. permitting non-standard base-pairing at the 3rd anti-codon position. Lineage: Bacteria; Pseudomonadati; Myxococcota; Haliangiales; Kofleriaceae. The record is from RNAcentral.
GGAGGAGUGGCCGAGUGGUUUAAGGCAGCGGUCUUGAAAACCGCCGAGUGAAUAGCUCCGGGGGUUCGAAUCCCUCCUCCUCCG